Molecule: ribosomal RNA, 253 nt
Filed under: uncultured bacterium
Lineage: Bacteria
Description: partial 16S ribosomal RNA
Rfam family: Bacterial small subunit ribosomal RNA
Source: RNAcentral
UACGAAGGGUGCAAGCGUUACUCGGAAUUACUGGGCGUAAAGUGUGCGUAGGCGGUUUGUUAAGUCCGCUGUGAAAGCCCUCGGCUCAAACUGGGAAUUGCAGUGGAUACUGGCAAGCUAGAGUGCGGUAGAGGAUGGUGGAAUUCCCGGUGUAGCGGUGAAAUGCGUAGAGAUCGGGAGGAACACCCGUGGCGAAGACGGCCAUCUGGACCAGCACUGACGCUGAGGCACGAAAGCGUGGGGAGCAAACAGG